RNAcentral lists this ribosomal RNA (499 nucleotides) under uncultured bacterium. RNAcentral's name for it is "partial 16S ribosomal RNA". It matches the Rfam family "Bacterial small subunit ribosomal RNA", at positions 28 to 507 of the family's 1533-position model. The record is from RNAcentral.
GACGAACGCUGGCGGCGUGCCUAAUACAUGCAAGUCGAGCGAAGUUUUUCUGGUGCUUGCACUAGAAAAACUUAGCGGCGAACGGGUGAGUAACACGUAAAGAACCUGCCUCAUAGACUGGGACAACUAUUGGAAACGAUAGCUAAUACCGGAUAACAGUAUUUCUCGCAUGAGAGAUAUUUAAAAGUUGGUUAUGCUAACACUAUGAGAUGGCUUUGCGGUGCAUUAGCUAGUUGGUGGGGUAAAGGCCCACCAAGGCGACGAUGCAUAGCCGACCUGAGAGGGUGAUCUGCCACACUAGGACUGAGACACGGCCCAGACUCCUACGGGAGGCAGCAGUAGGGAAUCUUCCGCAAUGGGCGAAAGCCUGACGGAGCAACGCCGCGUGAGUGAAGAAGGAUUUCGGUUCGUAAAGCUCUGUUGUUAGGGAAGAAUGGAUAUGUAGUAACUAUACAUGUAAGAGACGGUACCUAACCAGAAAGCCACGGCUAACUACGUG